Long non-coding RNA from Cyprinodon variegatus (sheepshead minnow), 686 nucleotides. RefSeq lists it as uncharacterized. The transcript has 2 exons. NCBI's taxonomy places the organism in Eukaryota, Metazoa, Chordata, Actinopteri, Cyprinodontiformes, Cyprinodontidae. The record is from RefSeq and is a predicted model, not a curated record.
AGGACUGGGACAGACAGGAGUUGUGUAAAAAAAAGAAAGAAAGAAGGAAAAGAGCAGAAGAGGCUGAAGUCCUCCGCUGCUUCCUGCUGCCGCUCCGGCGCUGAGACGCGCCUCAGACACCGAGUCCGACCUUUAAGAAGCCUGCCUGCGUGAGCGUGAAGGAAAUCCACAGACACACCCUGGAAAGCUCCAGGGAGGACUCAGCGGUGGGCGAGGCGGAGAACCCAACUUCAGCCGAGGGUUCGGGAUGAUCCAGGAGGCGCUGAGGAGCAGCGAACCGAGCCGGUGGUGCUGAAGGGAUGCAUGCAGCUAAACUCAGAAGGAGGAAGGAGUUGCAGUUUGAUACAAAUGAGAAGGUGUGUCAACCUGAGACUGAAGGCUUCAACCGCUCAGGUUCUGCCUGGCUGACUCACAGCAGUUCUUCACUGGCAAGCUUUAUGUUCCUGUACACAUGCUAAAGCUGCCAGCUGAAGAACUGCUCUGGUCAGCCCUGCCCUACAGGCUUUAAGAAGAGGAUAGCAGCUGGUGAGAAUGUAGCUCACUAACCUGUUUUGUUUAUUUGAAACAUUUCUGUAUUUUGUCUUUAUCCAUUAAUUGAUUUUAUGGGGAAACAAAGUUUUCCUGCAUAUAUUAUGUAAACAAUCUGUUUUCUCCUCUGUAAAAUAAAGAACAAAAUGUUCCCCUGA